AUUAUCUAUGAUAAUGAAAGGGGCUUUCGGGCUUCGCUAGUCGAUAGGGGUAAGUUGUAUUAGCUAGUUGGUGAGGUAAUGGCUCACCAAGGCGAUGAUGCAUAGCCNGCUUUAGCGAGUGAUUGGCCACAUUGGGACUGAGACAAGGCCCAGACUCCUUCGGGAGGCAGCAGCAGGGAAUUUUUCGCAAUGGGGGAAACCCUGACGAAGCGAUACUACGUGAAGGAAGAAGGUCUAUGGAUUGUAAACUUCUGUCAGCGUUUAAGAAAAAAAUAAAUGAAAGUUUAUUAUUGACUAGACGCUUAGAAAGUCACGACUAACUACGUGCCAGCAGUCGCGGCAAUACGUAGGUGGCGAAUGUUAUCCGGAAUUAUUGGGCGUAAAGAAUGCGUAGAUGGUAAAAUAAGUCAUUGGUAGAAGUCAGGCUCAACCUGAAAGAAGCUGGUGAUACUGUUUUUCUAGAGUGUAGGAGAGGUUGAUGGAAUUCCAUGUGGAGCGGUGAAAUGCAUAGAUAUAUGGAGGAACACCAACAAAGGCGAAGGCAGUCAACUAUUCUACUACUGACAUUGAAGCAUGAAAGCGUGGGGAGCAAAAAGGAUUAGAUACCCUUGUAGUCCACGCCGUAAACGAUGAGUACUAGUUGUUGGACAUAAGUUCAGUGGCGCCAGCUAACGCGUUAAGUACUCCGCCUGGAUAGUACGCUCGCAAGAGUGAAACCCAAAGGAAUUGACGGGGACUCGCACAAGCGGUGGAGCAUGUGGUUUAAUUCGAUACAACGCGCAAAACCUUACCGAGGCUUGACAUGGAGUGCAAAGCUGUGGAAACGCAGUGGAGGUUAUCACAACACAGAUGGUGCAUGGCCGUCGUCAGUUCGUGCUGUGAAGUGUAUGCUUAAGUGCUAUAACGAACGCAACCCUUGUCUUUAGUUACUACUCGUAAGAGA
Molecule: ribosomal RNA, 943 nt
Filed under: uncultured bacterium
Lineage: Bacteria
Description: bacterial SSU rRNA
Rfam family: Bacterial small subunit ribosomal RNA
Source: RNAcentral